This 257-nucleotide small nuclear RNA is filed under the name Ursus maritimus (polar bear). Its description in RNAcentral is "7SK RNA (ENSUMAG00000025647.1)". It matches the Rfam family "7SK RNA". From Rfam's summary of the family: 7SK was discovered as an abundant small nuclear RNA in the mid-70s but a possible function has only recently been suggested. Two independent studies have found that 7SK RNA binds the CDK9/cyclin T complex (known as elongation factor P-TEFb). Lineage: Eukaryota; Metazoa; Chordata; Mammalia; Carnivora; Ursidae. The record is from Rfam by way of RNAcentral.
GGUAAGAGGACACUGUGUCUGUAACUCUUUCACUCCACUGAUCACUGCAGUUGAUUCAGCUGACUUGGUCAGUAAGCAGAUGUCUCCUCUGUCCCUCACCACACCACAUCCAUCUCUCUAACCUUGAGGGUUUUUUUGUUUUUUUAUGUCCUUUCCAGACAGAGAUGAGUCAUUCCACAAUCAAGGAUAAGAGUGUCUGUGGCACUUAAAGAUGGCCAUGAAUUCUUUCCUUCUUCCAUUGAGAGAUGAGAUCUAAU